AAACUUGCAAGGCAGAACGACCCGUGAAUCGUUUAGAACUCACUGGAGGGGCGGGCCUAUGUGCCCACCGCUCUCGCUGCCCCAAGGCUGGAGUUGCGGGUCAAGCCUCCAUCCCUAGCUGUGGGUGCAGACAACAAACCCCGGCGCAAAUCGCGCCAAGGAAUAAGAAAGAGAGGCGUGCUCCCUUGGUCCCUGAAACGGUGCACCAGGGACUGCGUCGUCAUCAUCCUAUUCGAAACGACUCUCGGCAACGGAUAUCUCGGCUCUCGCAUCGAUGAAGAACGUAGCGAAAUGCGAUACUUGGUGUGAAUUGCAGAAUCCCGUGAACCAUCGAGUUUUUGAACGCAAGUUGCGCCCGAAGCCGUUAGGCCGAGGGCACGCCUGCCUGGGUGUCACAAAAUGUCGCCAAACUUUACUUCACCCCGUGGGAAAGCAUCGAGGGAUGGCGGAAAUUGGCCUCCCGUGCGCAGUGGCUCGCGGUUCGCCUAAAAGAGAGUCCCCCUAGCGAGGUGGCCACGACACGCGGUGGUAGAAAGCACAUGCUCUCCCCGAACACCGUCGUGGGCGAGCCUCGUCCAGGGGGGAUGCCAAGGGCCCCGACGCAUAGCGUCUCUCGC
This 617-nucleotide ribosomal RNA is filed under the name Tontelea cylindrocarpa. Its description in RNAcentral is "eukaryotic LSU rRNA". The stretch from base 240 to 395 matches the Rfam family "5.8S ribosomal RNA". Lineage: Eukaryota; Viridiplantae; Streptophyta; Magnoliopsida; Celastrales; Celastraceae. The record is from RNAcentral.